Molecule: non-coding RNA, 73 nt
Filed under: unclassified sequences
Source: RNAcentral
AAAACGUCGAGAAAAAGAUAGCCUGCCUUAUGUGCAAGCGCACGGUGUCAGCCUCCUAUUUUCUUCUCGUUUU